UGGGGGGUGGUGGCGGGGGCGGGGGGUGGGGAGCGAGCAUUAAUCAAAACAUCGAAGUGAGCCCCACCAUGCCUACGUGUACAAAUAGCUGUUGAUGGCUUUGCCAUGCUUACUGAACUGAGUAAGUCUAAAAGCCUUCCGUGUGCAUUCCUAUUUUCGGGCGCAAUACAGUACGUUAACCUCAGAAUAUCAAAUUGAAUCAGGGGUUCUGAGAAGAGCCGCCUGCAAAGCGGUUAGAAUGACACUCCUCAUUACACCGUCCAGAUUCAGGUUUCAGACAACCAUAACCAGCCUUUGCCGGCUUCUCACCUACAGGCAGACCCAGGCAGCCCCAAAUCAGAGCCUGCCCUCCGGCAAGGGCUCCCGGACCUCUUCACAGGUGAAGUCCACCGAGACCCGGAAAGCUGCUGAGGUACAGGGGUGUGCCCAGGACUCCCUGUAACUGGCAGCCACAGUGAAGUCAACACGGAGAGAGCUGGACCACAGGUAGACAUCCAGUACCGGGGACCUGUGUGAGCCCCUGAUCCAGCCUUGCCUGAAACCAAUGAUCCCUGGAACCCUGUUGAUUAAUAAACCAGUAAAUGCCUCCA
This 590-nucleotide long non-coding RNA is filed under the name Felis catus (domestic cat). Its description in RNAcentral is "lncRNA (ENSFCAG00000053658.1)". Lineage: Eukaryota; Metazoa; Chordata; Mammalia; Carnivora; Felidae. The record is from RNAcentral.